CUGCAGGGGGCCCACAGGCUGAAGAACCAGAGAAAAUCCUCCCUUACUUGGGGAAGGUCAGUCUUUUUUUCUAUUCAGGUCUUCAACUGAUUAGAUAAAGCUCACCACAUUGGGGAGGGCCAUCUACUUUACUCAAAUGUUCAUUACAUCCCAAAACCCCCUUUCGCAGACACACCCAGAAUAAUAUUUAACCAAAUGUCUGGGCACCCUGUAGCCUCGUCAAGUUGACACAUAAAACUCAC
This 242-nucleotide long non-coding RNA is filed under the name Homo sapiens (human). RNAcentral describes it as "non-protein coding lnc-ARHGEF7-4:1". Lineage: Eukaryota; Metazoa; Chordata; Mammalia; Primates; Hominidae. The record is from RNAcentral.